RNAcentral lists this long non-coding RNA (2850 nucleotides) under Olea europaea subsp. europaea. Lineage: Eukaryota; Viridiplantae; Streptophyta; Magnoliopsida; Lamiales; Oleaceae. The record is from RNAcentral.
CACAAACAAACAUUUCGAAGCAGUCCAUUUUCUUUUUCAUUUUUCACACACACUUUUCGUACAUAUAGCUAAAAUAAACAUCUUACAUAUACCAUAACUCAUAAUUCAUCCUUAAAUCACAAGUUUUCAUUUCAUCAAACAAUUUUCAGCAGCUUUUCUCAUGGAGAUUUUCUGGUUUUUCAAAAUUUUCUUGACUUUCACCUUCUUUUUCUUGAUGGGAGAUCCAUUUUUCUCUCAUUCAUCUUCUUUGCCCGAGGGAAUCGCGAAGUCUGCAGCUGUACACCGCAAUUACACCGCCAUAUCAGAGUUUCGAGUACUCAACAGAAAACCUUUGAAGGAUUGCCCCGACCUGAACCCGUAUUUGCAAAUAAACACAAGCUCCAUUGCCAAGCUUUCUGAUGAUGGAUAUAUAACAGUAAAUGUUACAGGAGUUUUACUUCCUUCGGCUACUGAUUGGGUCGCAAUGAUUUCCCCAUCUCAUGCCGUGUAAGAUGAUUAUUUUCGUAUCUAAAUAAUCUGAUUCUACGCUUGAAAAAACGGUAAAUUUAAUCUGAUCUUGCAGUGUAACAGCCUGUUUAGAAAACUCAAUUCUUUAUAAGGAGACAGGAGAUUUUAGUAGUCUUCCUCUUCUCUGCCAUUAUCCUGUUAAGGUAAGUGCAUUCUACUUUUGCAAAACGUUUGAAGGAUUAUAAUAAUCACAGUUUAAUUAGCCUUGAGAUUAUUUUAUAUUUUACUGCGCGCAGCCAUUCUUUUAAUUUAUUUCUUGACAUGCCUGGUUCAUAAUGAUCAGAAAUCUGUUUAAGUAUCAAAUAAUUCAGAAACUGAGAGUUUCUUGAAAAAUUUGUCCUUGAUCCGAUAUUUACUCGACAUAGUAACAACAACAAUAACAAACUAAUGUCGAUCGACUUGGGUUAUUGCUAAAAUUUGCAGGCUCAAUAUUUAAGAAGUGAUCCAGAUUACUUAAGUUGCAAGAAGAAGGAAUGCAAGAAAAAAGUGAAUGGAAAAUGCGUGUUGAGAACAUGUAGUGCGUCUUUGUCAUUUCAUGUCAUUAAUAUUCGAACUGAUAUCGAAUUUGUGCUGUUUGCUGGUGGAUUUGUUGCGCCUUGCAUUUUGAGAAGAUCACAGCCACUCAGAUUUGCCAAUCCAAACAAGCCUUUAUAUGGACAUAUAUCGAGUACCGAUUCAACAGCAAAAUCGGUAUGGAAUGCCAUCUCUGAUCUCCAAUAUCCAUGCAUGUGGUUGAGAAUUAAUUAUUUUAUUUUUAUUUACAACAUUUUAGAGGAAAUAGUUCGACGAUUUUUUAUUUAUUUAUUUUUGAUAAUAUGUUAUUAAAAAGCGGAAGUUAUGAAUUUCAUAAAAUGUGUGUGACUGAAAAUUAUUUGAACGAAAAAAGUUUAAGAAAAAGUUGUAUCAAACAUGCCUUUAUUUAACCCCUAUUUGGUAUAGCUAAAAAUUAAUUUUUUGUAAAUUUUAAUAAAAGUUGAUGAAAUGUAUUGAAAAGUUUGAAUCCCUUAAAUUAUUUAAUUAAAAUAAAAUUUUAAUUUUCACCAUAAUUUUUCAAUUCCUUACUCCUGUAAGAAAUGGCACAAGGCUUUGUUGACUUUGCUAUCAUUAAUUGCCUUGUCCGCCCGGCAAGAUUAUCGUUCACAAGCAUCUGCAAUUUCCUCUUUUUAAUAAAUUAAACAGCUGUGAUGGGAUGGCAACAUAUUUACCUUCUUUAUGGGAUUAAAAUCAAAAUUUAUUGAUAAAAAUUAAUAAAAUGUAUGAUUGAAAAGUUGUGAAUCCUAUAAAAUAUAUUAUUAAAUCUAAUUAUUAAUUAUAAUUAUAAUUAUAAUUUUAAAUCCUAAUGAAUGGGGACUUAAAGAUCUACCACCAACUUAACUGAGCAAUUACUGUUGUGCAGAACAAAUAUUGAAUAUUCUCACCUUUUACUGAAUUAAGUAAUUAAUUCAGUGUACUCGUGGGAUUAAAAAGUCAGCAGCAGUUGACUGCAAAAUUUUGAGGUGUGAAAGAAGAAAAAACGUAGCAGUGCUUUCAAACGUAGGGCCACAUAAUAUUAGUGCAUGGGAAGUGAUAAAUAAUUAUAUAUUUAAUUAGGUAUAUUUUUUAUGCUGAUGAGAUUAGACAUUAUAAAGAAUAGAUUUUGUAAUGUUUUUUCCCAAAGUUUGAUGCAUUAUAAUUUUGACGUGUCAAAAUUUUAGUGAGACGCAUUUUUGCCUUUAAAAAAAACAACGAAAGAGACAACAAGAUAGAGCAACAAAUGUAGACUCGUCGUGAACGCAUUAACACCUGUAUUUGAUAUGAAUAUAUUUGGUAAGAUUUGAUAUGAAUAUAUGGAGAAUAUAAUGGAUUUUUCAAAAUUGUGAUAAUUGCAGAUGAGAGUAACAUGGGUGAGUGGAAACCAACAGCCUCAACAUGUUCAAUUUGGAAAUGGGAAAUCAGUUACCUCACUUGUUUCUACUUUUUCACAAAGUGAUAUGUGCAACAGUAAGUUUCUUAUUCUCCUCGUGCUUUUGCUUAAAGUAGCUUAAAACCGUAUAUCUUUGAGACUUUUAUAAACAACCAAAUGACUUGAUUGAACAUCGUUUUGUCUACCCAUUUGAGAAGACUAAUGUUAUUCGGCACAACUAAUGUUAUAGUUUUUUCCAUGAAUUCUCGAAGGGAUUGGCAUCUUCAAUCUAGAUUAAUGUUUUAUUCUAAAAUAUUGUUUCCUUUUUAUCGAAAAUAAGCUUCCUACUUACAAAGUCCUGCCAAGGAUUUUGGGUGGCAUGACCCUGGCUACAUUCAUUCAGCUGUAAUGACAGGACUCAACCCUUCAACCAAGUACCUCUACAGAUAUGGAAGGUAAAU